Molecule: ribosomal RNA, 465 nt
Filed under: Vreelandella stevensii
Lineage: Bacteria; Pseudomonadati; Pseudomonadota; Gammaproteobacteria; Oceanospirillales; Halomonadaceae
Description: partial 16S ribosomal RNA
Rfam family: Bacterial small subunit ribosomal RNA
Source: RNAcentral
CCUACGGGUGGCGGCAGUGGGGAAUAUUGGACAAUGGGCGAAAGCCUGAUCCAGCCAUGCCGCGUGUGUGAAGAAGGCCUUCGGGUUGUAAAGCACUUUCAGUGGGGAAGAAAGCCUUGGGGCUAAUACCCUCGAGGAAGGACAUCACCCACAGAAGAAGCACCGGCUAACUCCGUGCCAGCAGCCGCGGUAAUACGGAGGGUGCGAGCGUUAAUCGGAAUUACUGGGCGUAAAGCGCGCGUAGGCGGUCUGAUAAGCCGGUUGUGAAAGCCCCGGGCUCAACCUGGGAACGGCAUCCGGAACUGUCAGGCUAGAGUGCAGGAGAGGAAGGUAGAAUUCCCGGUGUAGCGGUGAAAUGCGUAGAGAUCGGGAGGAAUACCAGUGGCGAAGGCGGCCUUCUGGACUGACACUGACGCUGAGGUGCGAAAGCGUGGGUAGCAAACAGGAUUAGAUACCCGGGUAGUC